Molecule: transfer RNA, 83 nt
Filed under: Lysobacterales bacterium
Lineage: Bacteria; Pseudomonadati; Pseudomonadota; Gammaproteobacteria; Lysobacterales
Description: tRNA-Leu
Rfam family: tRNA
About the family: Transfer RNA (tRNA) molecules are approximately 80 nucleotides in length. Their secondary structure includes four short double-helical elements and three loops (D, anti-codon, and T loops). Further hydrogen bonds mediate the characteristic L-shaped molecular structure. tRNAs have two regions of fundamental functional importance: the anti-codon, which is responsible for specific mRNA codon recognition, and the 3' end, to which the tRNAs corresponding amino acid is attached (by aminoacyl-tRNA synthetases). tRNAs cope with the degeneracy of the genetic code in two manners: having more than one tRNA (with a specific anti-codon) for a particular amino acid; and 'wobble' base-pairing, i.e. permitting non-standard base-pairing at the 3rd anti-codon position.
Source: RNAcentral
GCCGAAGUGGUGGAAUGGUAGACGCGCCGGACUCAAAAUCCGGUACUGGAGACAGUGUGUGGGUUCGAGUCCCACCUUCGGCA